Molecule: non-coding RNA, 70 nt
Organism: Dallia pectoralis (Alaska blackfish)
Lineage: Eukaryota; Metazoa; Chordata; Actinopteri; Esociformes; Umbridae
Source: the annotation of a GenBank genome assembly
GGCUCAGCUCAGUAGUUAUAGCAAUGGACUUGAAAGCCAGGGGUAGUAGGUUCAAUUCCUGCUGGGGCCU